UACGUAGGGAGCAAGCGUUGUCCGGAAUCAUUGGGCGUAAAGCGCGCGUAGGUGGCUUCGUAAGUCCGUUGUGAAAGUCAAAGGCUCAACCUUUGAAAGCCGAUGGAUACUGCGGAGCUAGAGUACGGAAGAGGCGAGUGGAAUUCCUGGUGUAGCGGUGGAAUGCGCAGAUAUCAGGAGGAACACCAAUAGCGAAGGCAGCUCGCUGGGACGUUACUGACACUAAGGCGCGAAAGCGUGGGGAGCGAACAGG
RNAcentral lists this ribosomal RNA (253 nucleotides) under uncultured bacterium. RNAcentral's name for it is "partial 16S ribosomal RNA". It matches the Rfam family "Bacterial small subunit ribosomal RNA", at positions 524 to 776 of the family's 1533-position model. The record is from RNAcentral.